CGGACGGGUGAGUAACGCGUGAGAAUCUGCCCUUAGGUCCGGGACAACCACUGGAAACGGUGGCUAAUACCGGAUGUGCCGCAACGUGAAAGGGGAAACCCGCCUGAAGAUGAGCUCGCGUCUGAUUAGCUGGUUGGUGAGGUAAAGGCUCACCAAGGCGACGAUCAGUAGCUGGUCUGAGAGGAUGACCAGCCACACUGGGACUGAGACACGGCCCAGACUCCUACGGGAGGCAGCAGUGGGGAAUUUUCCGCAAUGGGCGAAAGCCUGACGGAGCAAGACCGCGUGAGGGAAGAAGGCUCUUGGGUCGUAAACCUCUUUUGUCAGGGAAGAACACAAUGACGGUACCUGACGAAUCAGCCUCGGCUAACUCCGUGCCAGCAGCCGCGGUAAUACGGAGGAGGCAAGCGUUAUCCGGAAUUAUUGGGCGUAAAGCGUCCGUAGGUGGCUAGUCAAGUCUGCGGUCAAAGACUGGGGCUUAACCCUGGAAAGGCCGUGGAAACUAACGAGCUAGAGUGCAGUAGGGGUAGAGGGAAUUCCCGGUGUAGCGGUGAAAUGCGUAGAGCUCGGGAAGAACAUCGGUGGCGAAAGCGCUCUACUGGACUGCAACUGACACUCAGGGACGAAAGCUAGGGGAGCGAAUGGGAUUAGAUACCCCAGUAGUC
RNAcentral lists this ribosomal RNA (665 nucleotides) under uncultured bacterium. Its description in RNAcentral is "bacterial SSU rRNA". It matches the Rfam family "Bacterial small subunit ribosomal RNA", at positions 99 to 795 of the family's 1533-position model. The record is from RNAcentral.